AUAAGAAGAAGAAAAAAAAAGAAGAAGAAGAUUAGUGAAAAAAAAAAGAGAGAAGAAAGAUGAAGGGAGCAAUGAAGGGGAUGGUGAUGGUGAUGAUGAUGGUUAUGGUAAUGGUCAUGAUGGGAAUAGGAGAAGUGAAAGGAGAGACUCCAUGUGUAAUGAAAUGCAUAAAACGUUGUUUCGGCAUAAUCCCCACACCCCCUACAUGUCUCAACACUUGUCGGAAAGCUUGUGGUGUUCCUUCUUCUACCUCAUUUCCCGACCAAGCGCCUCGGAAUGAUUUCAUAACGAUCGAGCAAUGAUGUUUCAGAAAUUAAAGUUGUUUUUUAUCUUCUUUCUAUGUUUGGAAUAGUUCUACCCUACCUUGUAAUGUUCUAUCCAUUAAUAAAAAUAAAAUCCAAACUACCAUCAUCUAAAUUAA
Molecule: long non-coding RNA, 421 nt
Organism: Tarenaya hassleriana
Lineage: Eukaryota; Viridiplantae; Streptophyta; Magnoliopsida; Brassicales; Cleomaceae
Exons: 2
Source: RefSeq, a predicted model, not a curated record